RNAcentral lists this ribosomal RNA (705 nucleotides) under uncultured Staphylococcus sp. RNAcentral's name for it is "bacterial SSU rRNA". It matches the Rfam family "Bacterial small subunit ribosomal RNA", at positions 64 to 744 of the family's 1533-position model. Lineage: Bacteria; Bacillati; Bacillota; Bacilli; Caryophanales; Staphylococcaceae. The record is from RNAcentral.
GUGCUUUUCUAGAGAACAAAUGACGAGCUUGUUCCUCUGACGGUGGCAUGAGGAGGAUUAGAUACCCUGGUAUACCCCACCUAUAAUAAUGGGUUAUCUUCGGGAAGCCGGAUCUACCCCUGGAUGACGUGUUGAACCCUUUGGUUCUCCGUGAGGGACGGUCUUGCUGUCUUUUAAAAAUGGAUCCGCUCCACAUUACCUUUUUGGAAACGUAACAGCUUACCAGGGCAACGAUGCGUACCCGACCUGAGAGGGUGAUCGGCCACACUGGAACUGAGACACGGUCCAGACUCCUACGGGAGGCAGCAGUAGGGAAUCUUCCGCAGUGGGCGAAAGCCUGACGGAGCAACCCCGCGUGAGUGAAAAAGGUCUUCAGAUCGUAAAACUCUGUUAUUAGGGAAAAACAAGUGUGUAAGUAACUAUGCACGUCUUGACGGUACCUAAUCAGAAAGCCACGGCUAACUACGUGCCAGCAGCCGCGGUAAUACGUAUGUGGCAAGCGUUAUCCGGAAUUAUUGGGCGUAAAGCGCGCGUAGGCGGUUUUUUAAGUCUGAUGUGAAAGCCCACGGCUCAACCGUGGAGGGUCGUUGGAAACUGGAAAACUUGAGUGCAAAAAAAGAAAGUGGAAUUCCGUGUGUAGCGGUGAAAUGCGCAAUAUAUGGAGGAACACCAGUGGCGAAGGCGACUUUCUGGUCUGUAACUGAC